Molecule: long non-coding RNA, 751 nt
Organism: Panicum hallii
Lineage: Eukaryota; Viridiplantae; Streptophyta; Magnoliopsida; Poales; Poaceae
Exons: 5
Source: RefSeq, a predicted model, not a curated record
CCCCCGCCGCACGCCCCCGAUGCCGCGCCGCCCGCCGGCCCCGCCGCGCCCCCCAGCGAAGAGUCUAAAGCAAGAGCACAAGAUGGGCUUGGCCAUGGCCAUGUGAGGGAGAUUUGUAGGGCGCAUGGAGAGUUGAUGCUUCGUUCCCCAUGGAGCUCUGAUAUGACUUGUUGGAUCUUUGCACCAAUGGACCAAAAGAAAAGCUUGACUCAACGGUGAUCAGUCAGCCAGCUAUAUAUGUUACCAGCCUUGCAGCAGUAGAGGUACUACGUGCACGCGAUGGAGGCGAAGAUGUGAUCAACUCUGUUGAUGUUACAUGUGGUCUCAGCUUGGGAGAAUACACUGCACUUGCAUUUGCUGGUGCCUUUAGCUUUGAGGAUGGACUGAAGCUUGUCAAGCUAAGAGGAGAAGCUAUGCAGGAUGCUUCAGAUGCUGCCAAUAGUGCGACGGUUAGUGUGAUUGGUCUAGAUUCAGAAAAGGUGCAAGAGCUAUGUGAUGCUGCUAAUGAGGAAGUAGAUGAAAAGGAAAGAGUUCAGAUAGCAAACUUUUGGCUGAUAUCUUUGCUGCUUGAUCAUGUAUUCCUCGUUUUACACUGAAACAAAAUAAAACCGAUCUGAAGCAGUACUCUGUUUUAGGGAAAAGGAAACUGUCGAGGAAGUAUUUGCAUGUUUGACUAGGGGCCUUGUCGGUGACCAAAAUUUCUUCGCCACAGCCCAUCUUUGACAAGGUUAACUAGUUGUUCAUUGUUCUA